GACGAACGCUGGCGGCGUGCUUAACACAUGCAAGUCGAACGGUAAGGCCCUUCGGGGUACACGAGUGGCGAACGGGUGAGUAACACGUGGGUGAUCUGCCCUGCACUUCGGGAUAAGCCUGGGAAACUGGGUCUAAUACCGGAUAGGACUCCUGGCUUCAUGGUUGGGGGUGGAAAGCUUUUGCGGUGUGGGAUGGGCCCGCGGCCUAUCAGCUUGUUGGUGGGGUAAUGGCCUACCAAGGCGACGACGGGUAGCCGGCCUGAGAGGGUGACCGGUCACACUGGGACUGAGAUACGGCCCAGACUCCUACGGGAGGCAGCAGUGGGGAAUAUUGCACAAUGGGCGCAAGCCUGAUGCAGCGACGCCGCGUGAGGGAUGACGGCCUUCGGGUUGUAAACCUCUUUCGGUAGGGACGAAGCGCAAGUGACGGUACCUACAGAAGAAGGACCGGCCAACUACGUGCCAGCCGCCGCCGUAA
RNAcentral lists this ribosomal RNA (478 nucleotides) under uncultured bacterium. RNAcentral's name for it is "partial 16S ribosomal RNA". It matches the Rfam family "Bacterial small subunit ribosomal RNA", at positions 28 to 523 of the family's 1533-position model. The record is from RNAcentral.